UGCAAGUGAUGUCUUUUCUCAUGAUGAUGUAUGGAUGCCUCUGUGGGCAGUGCCAAAGGCUCAUCAGAUACCAGGAG
Dipodomys ordii (Ord's kangaroo rat) is the source of this 77-nucleotide small nucleolar RNA. Lineage: Eukaryota; Metazoa; Chordata; Mammalia; Rodentia; Heteromyidae. The record is from Ensembl.